GACGAACGCUGGCGGCGUGCUUAACACAUGCAAGUCGAACGAAGAGCGAUGGAAGCUUGCUUCUAUCAAUCUUAGUGGCGAACGGGUGAGUAACGCGUAAUCAACCUGCCCUUCAGAGGGGGACAACAGUUGGAAACGACUGCUAAUACCGCAUACGAUCUGACCUCGGCAUCGAGGAUAGAUGAAAGGUGGCCUCUAUUUAUAAGCUAUCACUGAAGGAGGGGAUUGCGUCUGAUUAGCUAGUUGGAGGGGUAACGGCCCACCAAGGCGAUGAUCAGUAGCCGGUCUGAGAGGAUGAACGGCCACAUUGGGACUGAGACACGGCCCAGACUCCUACGGGAGGCAGCAGUGGGGAAUCUUCCGCAAUGGACGAAAGUCUGACGGAGCAACGCCGCGUGAGUGAUGACGG
RNAcentral lists this ribosomal RNA (409 nucleotides) under uncultured bacterium. Its description in RNAcentral is "bacterial SSU rRNA". It matches the Rfam family "Bacterial small subunit ribosomal RNA", at positions 28 to 414 of the family's 1533-position model. The record is from RNAcentral.